CCCCAGAUCAGUGGCCUCAGAAUCACCUGGAAACUUGUUAAAAAUGCAGAAUCCCAGGCCUACCCUGGACUAUCAGAAGCUGAAGGCAGUUCUGUUGAACAUGUAAAUAUUCCCCCUGCUGUGAUUAUUAUUGCAACUGAACAGAGAUGCUCUAUUUUCAAGAUGCUGAUACAAGAGGAUCAGAGAAUCAGGAGCAAUGCAACCAGCGUGGCGGUUGAGGAUUAGUAGGCUUGUCCUUGCCUGAAUUGGAGGAGCUGGCUGAGCCUUCCCUGAUGGAGAACGCUACCUCCACCAUGAACAGCUGCCUGCUUUAUUGGCUCGGGCUGUAGACCAUCACUGACAGGUCAGCUGCAGCUAGCAGACAGCUCUGUGCUAACCGAAGACCAAGAAAGAAACCCUGGGGAAGGAAACAGUGCCUGGCAGCACACACGUCAGUCUUCCUCUUUUGCGCCAGACCCCAGGCAUUCCGG
This is a long non-coding RNA of Bos taurus (domestic cattle), 470 nucleotides long. The record is from Ensembl. NCBI's taxonomy places the organism in Eukaryota, Metazoa, Chordata, Mammalia, Artiodactyla, Bovidae.